Molecule: non-coding RNA, 29 nt
Filed under: Mus musculus (house mouse)
Lineage: Eukaryota; Metazoa; Chordata; Mammalia; Rodentia; Muridae
Source: RNAcentral
UGACAUUUGUCAAAGAAGUUGCCUUGGUC